RNAcentral lists this transfer RNA (72 nucleotides) under Actinobacteria bacterium BACL15 MAG-120619-bin91. RNAcentral's name for it is "tRNA-Val". It matches the Rfam family "tRNA". Rfam says of the family: Transfer RNA (tRNA) molecules are approximately 80 nucleotides in length. Their secondary structure includes four short double-helical elements and three loops (D, anti-codon, and T loops). The record is from RNAcentral. RNAcentral also lists the same sequence under 7 other names. Lineage: Bacteria; Bacillati; Actinomycetota; Actinomycetes.
GGGUGGUUAGCUCAGUGGUAGAGCGUCUCGUUUACACCGAGAAUGUCGGGGGUUCGAAACCCUCACCGCCCA